This 454-nucleotide ribosomal RNA is filed under the name uncultured bacterium. RNAcentral's name for it is "bacterial SSU rRNA". It matches the Rfam family "Bacterial small subunit ribosomal RNA", at positions 29 to 506 of the family's 1533-position model. The record is from RNAcentral.
ACGAACGCUGGCGGCAUGCUUAACACAUGCAAGUCGAACGAGAAAACCUUCGGGUGAGUAUAGUGGCGCACGGGUGAGUAACACGUAGAUAACCUACCCUUCAGCCUAGAAUAACCUUUCGAAAGGGAGGCUAAUACUAGAUAACUUCUUUGGACAAGUGUCUGAGGAAUAAAAGCUGAGGCACUGAGGGAUGGGUCUGCGUCCCAUUAGCUAGUUGGUAGGGUAAUGGCCUACCAAGGCAACGAUGGGUAGCGGGUCUCAGAGGAUGAUCCGCCACACUGGCACUGAGAUACGGGCCAGACUCCUACGGGAGGCAGCAGUGGGGAAUCUUGCGCAAUGGGCGAAAGCCUGACGCAGCGAUGCCGCGUGAGCGAAGAAGGCCUUCGGGUCGUAAAGCUCUUUUCUCAGGGACGAUAAUGACGGUACCCGAGGAAUAAGCACCGGCUAACUACGU